ACCUAAAAAAGUUAGGACAAUUGUCAUUCAAAAUGCAAAUGAUGAAUUAAUCACCACUAGGGUGGUUACUAGUUGGCAUAUGUGCAUAGAUUAUAGGAAAUUAAAUAGUACCACCAGAAAAAACCAAUUUUCUCUUCCUUUCAUAGACCAAAUGUUGGAAAGAUUAGUAACACAUUCCUACUUCUGCUACCUAGAUGGGUAUUCGAGAUUCUUUCAAAUCCCUAUUCACCCA
Molecule: unclassified non-coding RNA, 232 nt
Filed under: Hevea brasiliensis (rubber tree)
Lineage: Eukaryota; Viridiplantae; Streptophyta; Magnoliopsida; Malpighiales; Euphorbiaceae
Source: RNAcentral